This 490-nucleotide ribosomal RNA is filed under the name uncultured bacterium. RNAcentral describes it as "partial 16S ribosomal RNA". It matches the Rfam family "Bacterial small subunit ribosomal RNA", at positions 28 to 507 of the family's 1533-position model. The record is from RNAcentral.
GAUGAACGCUAGCUACAGGCUUAACACAUGCAAGUCGAGGGGCAGCAUGGUCUUAGCUUGCUAAGGCCGAUGGCGACCGGCGCACGGGUGAGUAACACGUAUCCAACCUGCCGUCUACUCUUGGACAGCCUUCUGAAAGGAAGAUUAAUACAUGAUGGCAUCAUGAGUUCACAUGUUCACAUGAUUAAAGGUAUUCCGGUAGACGAUGGGGAUGCGUUCCAUUAGAUAGUAGGCGGGGUAACGGCCCACCUAGUCUUCGAUGGAUAGGGGUUCUGAGAGGAAGGUCCCCCACAUUGGAACUGAGACACGGUCCAAACUCCUACGGGAGGCAGCAGUGAGGAAUAUUGGUCAAUGGGCGAGAGCCUGAACCAGCCAAGUAGCGUGAAGGAUGACUGCCCUAUGGGUUGUAAACUUCUUUUAUAAAGGAAUAAAGUCGGGUAUGUAUACCCGUUUGCAUGUACUUUAUGAAUAAGGAUCGGCUAACUCCGUG